RNAcentral lists this ribosomal RNA (488 nucleotides) under uncultured bacterium. RNAcentral's name for it is "partial 16S ribosomal RNA". It matches the Rfam family "Bacterial small subunit ribosomal RNA", at positions 28 to 507 of the family's 1533-position model. The record is from RNAcentral.
GACGAACGCUGGCGGCGUGCUUAACACAUGCAAGUCGAACGGAAAGGCCCUGCUUUUGUGGGGUGCUCGAGUGGCGAAAGGGUGAGUAACACGUGAGUAACCUGCCCUUGACUUUGGGAUAACUUCAGGAAACUGGGGCUAAUACCGGAUAGGAGCUCCUGCUGCAUGGUGGGGGUUGGAAAGUUUCAGCGGUUGGGGAUGGACCUGCGGCUCAUCAGCUUGUUGGUGGGGUAGAGGCUUACCAAGGCUAUGAUGGGUAGCCGGACUGAGAGGGUGACCGGCCACAUUGGGACUGAGAGACGGCGCAAAAUACUACGGGAGGCAGCAGUAGGGAAGAUGCCACAAGGGGGGAAAGCGUGAUGGAGCAACGCCGAGUGGGUGAAGAAGGUCUUCGGAUCGUAAAACCGUGUUGUUAGAGAAGAAAGUGCGUGAGAGUAAAUGUUCACGGUUCGACGGGAUCUAACCAGAAAGCAACGGCUAACUACGUG